Long non-coding RNA from Felis catus (domestic cat), 1416 nucleotides. RefSeq lists it as uncharacterized. The record is from RefSeq and is a predicted model, not a curated record. The transcript has 2 exons. Lineage: Eukaryota; Metazoa; Chordata; Mammalia; Carnivora; Felidae.
UGCUCUGUCAGUACAGAGCCUGAUGUGGGGCUCAAACUCACAAACUGUGAGAUCAUAACCUGAACUGAAAUCAAGAGCCAGAUGCUUAACCGACUGAGCCACCCAGGCACCCUCUCUCAAAUAUCCUAUUUCACUGUACUCACUCUUCUUCUGCUUGUGAGGAGAUGAUAAAAUGCCUAUAUGACAAGACAAAAAGGUGGAUGACAUAAGCAUGUGACAUAGCAUUAGGCUACUACUGACCUUUGGACCAUUCCUCAGGAGGAUCACCUGCUUCCAGACUGCAACUAAAUAAAUAACUCCACGAUGGGGACUGGUUGCCAAAAAAAACCAAACCUUAAUUAGAAGCCUCGGACUUUCAGCCCCACCCCACAACCUCUGGAGGAGGAGAGAGGAACUGAAGAUUAAAUUAAUGAUCAAUCAUGCCUAUGUGAUGAAACCGCCAUAAAAAAUCCUAAACGAUGGGUUUAGAGAACUUCUGAAUUGGUAAACACAUUAAGGUGCUGGGAGGGUGGUGUGCCCAGACAGAGUAUGAAAGCUCUGCAUGCAUUCAUCCUUCCUUGCCCUAUAUCUUUCUUCCAUUUCACUGUUUCUGAGUUGUAUCCUUUAUAAUGAACUGACAAUAUCAAGCAAAACGCCUUCUGGAGUCUGUGAGCCAUUCUAGCAAAUUAUCAACCUGAGGAAGGGGUCAUGGAAACUCCUAAUUUAUAGCCAGAUGGUCAGAGGUAUGGGUGGCCCAAGACUUAAAACUGGCAACUGAAGUGGGGCAGUCUUAUGAACCUGAGCCCUUUAACUUGGAUAACUUAGGAUAACUUAGGUAGGUAGUGUAAGAAAGGAAUUGAACUGAAUUGGAGCAUACUCAGUUGUUACUGAGAGUUGGAGAAGUGAUUACUGGGAAACACCCAGGCCACCUAGUGUGCUUUGCCCAAUGAGACAUUAGAGAACGUGACAUAAGCAGAGGUUUAAGAAGCACUUGCACAGUGGGACUUGCCUUCUAGCGCUACCCUGAAACUGAAACAAGCCCAUGGUGACAGGGGUGCCUGGCUGACUCAGUCAGUAGAGCAUGCAACUUUUGAUUUCAGGGUCGUAAGUUCAAGCCCCACAUUGGGCACAGAACUCCCUAGGGGUUGGGGAGGGGGAGAGAAGAAGAGGAAGGGAAAGGGGAGGAGGAGAAGUCAUCGCCCACGGAGAUACAAGGCCCAACUAACAACCUGUACCAACUCUCACAGUGAGAGUUAGGCCAUCUUAGCACACCUCGCCUUAGUUGAGCCACCAGAUGACUACAGCAACAUGAGUAACUCCACUGGAAUUACUGAGACCAGAAGAACUGUAUGGCUAAACGGAGUUCAAAUUGUUGACUCACAGAUUCAAAAGUAAAUAAAAUGGCUGUUGUUUUAAGCUGUAGUUUGUUCAGAGCAA